This 65-nucleotide transfer RNA is filed under the name Vermiophis taishanensis. RNAcentral describes it as "tRNA-Ile". Lineage: Eukaryota; Metazoa; Arthropoda; Insecta; Diptera; Vermileonidae. The record is from RNAcentral.
AAUGAAUUGCCUGAUAAAAGGAUUACUUUGAUAGAGUAAAUUAUAUGAAAUUUUCAUAUUCAUUA